Molecule: long non-coding RNA, 1536 nt
Filed under: Homo sapiens (human)
Lineage: Eukaryota; Metazoa; Chordata; Mammalia; Primates; Hominidae
Description: long intergenic non-protein coding RNA 1939
Source: RNAcentral
GGUGCAGAAGGGACAGGUCAUAAUCCUUGUCUGGCAGGUACAGAAAGGACAGGUCAUAAUCCCUGGCUGGCAGGUGCAGAAGGGACAGGCGUCACCCCCACCAGCAGGUGCAGAGGUGCCGUUGCAGCAGUUGGAUGUGAGGCCAAGAAGCAGAAGCUAAGGGAGGGGGUCUGGGGCAUCCCUGGAGCUCAGAAGCCAAGGCCCGUGCCUGCCCCAGGGCUGGUGCCAUACAUAGUUCCAGGUACUGGGGACGGAGGGUAGCCGAUGGGGCCCUGAGCAGGACGUGCCUCUUCUGGACUUGACCACAGAACCCAAGCAUGGUUCAAGCGAUUCUCCUGCUUCAGCCUCCUGAGUAGUUGGGAUUACAGAUGCCCGCCACCGCACCCAGUCACAGAUGGACUCUGAGAGAGAAAAUAGCACCCCUGUCCAAACAUCACAUGCCUGGCGGAGGAACGCAGCCUGGCCUGUGCAGCCGAAUGUUGGAGAGUGCACCUUCCUCUCUUAUUUUGUUUUAUUUCCAGGGAAAGGGAAAGGAAGACAUGCAGUCUCAUUGAAGUCCUUGGGUCACUUUACCCCUGCCCUUGGGUUGAUGGACGAUCAGAUGUCUUCCUUCUCAUGCUGGCUGAGACAUCAAACACCAGAGUGGACUUACUUGGCUCCAGUGCUGGUGAUGGGCACUUCUGGGUGAAUGGAAUCUGGGGUGUACUAGCAAAUUUGCUGGUUCUUAGUGCAGGAUCAUUUGAAAAUUUAUUAUUCUGCCAAAUUGAUCAAAUCACUUUGAACAAUUUAUGCAUGUACUUCAUUACACAAUAGUUUCCAUUUCUGCACAUUCUAACACCUAUUAAUUUUUGCAAAUACUAUAGCCAUAAUAUAACAUCACAUUGUUAUUUUUGAUUUAUGUUUAACUGAAUUCAGGUAAUUUUGUACUGGUGUUCAGAAGAUUGACUUUAGGUUUUCUUACUUGCAAAUUACCUUUUCAUGUGUGUUGCCCAUGUUUUAAUGGGUUGACCUUUUUUAUUGAUGUUACUAUGGACUGAACUGCAUCCCUGCGAGAUUCAUAUGUUAAAGCUCGAGCUCCCAGUACCUCACAAUGGGACUGUAUUUGGAGAUAGGGCCUUUAAACAGGUAACUAAGUGAAAAUGAGGUCAUAAGGGUGGGCCCUGGUCCAAUGUGGUUGGUGUCCUUAUAAGAAGAGGAAAUGAGGACACAGACACACACACAGGAAUGACUGCAUGAGACACAGGAAGAGGCCCCAUCUACAAGCCAAGGAGAGCCUCAGGAGGGUCCAGGAAUGACUAAAUUGUCAUCUCAGACUUGUAGCUUCCAGCACUGUGAGAAAAUAAGUUUCUGUUUUUCCAUUAAAAAUUCUGAUUAUUAUUGUUGAAAAUGAGCACAAUGGCUUUUUAAAAAAAAAAUGUUGGUAUUCUAUCUGACCAUCUGAGUGAAAGCUCUUAUUAGUGUUAGAGUUUUUUUCAGAUUUCUUUGAAUUUUCUGUAUAAAAAUAUUGUCAGUAAUACAAAAUAUAUUAUCUUUUCC